CUCAGGAUGAACGCUAGCGACAGGCUUAACACAUGCGAAGUCGAGGGGCAGCAUAAAAGUAGCAAUACUUGGUGGCGACCGGCGCACGGGUGAGUAACGCGUAUGCAACCUACCUAUCAGAGGGGAAUAACCCGGCGAAAGUCGGACUAAUACCGCAUAAAACAGGGACACCGCAUGGUGAUAUUUGUUAAAGAAAUUCGCUGAUAGAUGGGCAUGCGUUCCAUUAGGUAGUUGGUGAGGUAACGGCUCACCAAGCCGACGAUGGAUAGGGGAACUGAGAGGUUGGUCCCCCACAUUGGUACUGAGACACGGACCAAACUCCUACGGGAGGCAGCAGUGAGGAAUAUUGGUCAAUGGGCGAGAGCCUGAACCAGCCAAGUAGCGUGAAGGAUAGAAGGUCCUAUGGAUUGUAAACUUCUUUUAUAGUAGAAUAAAGUGAGCCACGUGUGGUUUUUUGUAUGUAUACUAUGAAUAAGGAUCGGCUAACUCCGUGCCAGCAGCUGC
Molecule: ribosomal RNA, 504 nt
Filed under: uncultured bacterium
Lineage: Bacteria
Description: bacterial SSU rRNA
Rfam family: Bacterial small subunit ribosomal RNA
Source: RNAcentral